GACGAACGCUGGCGGCGUGCUUAACACAUGCAAGUCGAACGGAAAGGCCCUGCUUUUGUGGGGUGCUCGAGUGGCGAACGGGUGAGUAACACGUGAGUAACCUGCCCUUGACUUUGGGAUAACUUCAGGAAACUGGGGCUAAUACCGGAUAGGAGCUCCUGCUGCAUGGUGGGGGUUGGAAAGUUUCGGCGGUUGGGGAUGGACUCGCGGCUUAUCAGCUUGUUGGUGGGGUAGUGGCUUACCAAGGCUUUGACGGGUAGCCGGCCUGAGAGGGUGACCGGCCACAUUGGGACUGAGAUACGGACCAGAAUCCUACGGGAGGCAGCAGUGGGGAAUAUUGCACAAUGGGCGGAAGCCUGAUGCAGAAACGCCGCGUGCGGGAUGACGGCCUUCGGGUUGUAAACCGCUUUCGACUGUGACGAAGCGUGAGUGACGGUAAUGGGUAAAGAAGCACCGGCUAACUACGUG
This 468-nucleotide ribosomal RNA is filed under the name uncultured bacterium. Its description in RNAcentral is "partial 16S ribosomal RNA". It matches the Rfam family "Bacterial small subunit ribosomal RNA", at positions 28 to 507 of the family's 1533-position model. The record is from RNAcentral.